Long non-coding RNA from Sebastes umbrosus (honeycomb rockfish), 152 nucleotides. RefSeq lists it as uncharacterized. The record is from RefSeq and is a predicted model, not a curated record. The transcript is spliced from 3 exons. NCBI's taxonomy places the organism in Eukaryota, Metazoa, Chordata, Actinopteri, Perciformes, Sebastidae.
UGAAUGUGAUAGGCUGGCGACCUGUCCAGGGUGUACCCCGCCUUCGCCCAAUGUCAGUUGGGAUCGGCUCCACCCCCCCCUUGCGACCUCUAACGGGAUAAGAGGUUGCAGAUGAUGAAUGGAUGAUGAUGGAUGUUUCUUAUAUUUCACUG